GACGAACGCUGGCGGCGUGCUUAACACAUGCAAGUCGAACGGACAGACAGAGAGCUUGCUCUCUUGAAGUUAGUGGCGAACGGGUGAGUAACGCGUAAUCAACCUGCCCUUCAGAGGGGGAUAACAACGGGAAACCGUUGCUAAUACCGCGUACGAUUCAUGAACGGCAUCGUUUAUGAAUGAAAGGUGGCCUCUAUGUAUAAGCUAUCGCUGAAGGAGGGGAUUGCGUCUGAUUAGCUAGUUGGAGGGGUAACGGCCCACCAAGGCAAUGAUCAGUAGCCGGUGUGAGAGGAUGAACGGCCACAUUGGGACUGAGACACGGCCCAAACUCCUACGGGAGGCAGCAGUGGGGAAUCUUCCGCAAUGGACGAAAGUCUGACGGAGCAACGCCGCGUGAGUGAUGAAGGUCUUCGGAUUGUAAAGCUCUGUUAAUCGGGACGAAAGGGUUCUGCGUGAAUAAUGCAGAAAAGUGACGGUACCGGAAUAGAAAGCCACGGCUAACUACGUGCCAGCCGCCGCGGUAA
RNAcentral lists this ribosomal RNA (524 nucleotides) under uncultured bacterium. RNAcentral describes it as "partial 16S ribosomal RNA". It matches the Rfam family "Bacterial small subunit ribosomal RNA", at positions 28 to 523 of the family's 1533-position model. The record is from RNAcentral.